ACACUGCUGAGGAGUCCCACAAUAGGACGAGACGGCUGUCUAGUGC
RNAcentral lists this non-coding RNA (46 nucleotides) under Schistosoma mansoni. Lineage: Eukaryota; Metazoa; Platyhelminthes; Trematoda; Strigeidida; Schistosomatidae. The record is from RNAcentral.